AUUGAACGCUAGCGGGAUGCUUUACACAUGCAAGUCGAACGAGUGGCGGACGGGUGAGUAAUAUAUCGGAACGUGCCCAGUAGCGGGGGAUAACUACUCGAAAGAGUGGCUAAUACCGCAUACUAUUGCCGCGGCCGAUAUCCGAUUAGCUAGUUGGUGUGGUAAAGGCUCACCAAGGCAACGCUCCCUCGCUGGUUUGAGAGGACGACCAGCCACACUGGGACUGAGACACGGCCCAGACUCCUACGGGAGGCAGCAGUGGUGAAUUUUGGACAACGGGGGAAACCCUGAUCCAGCCAUCCCGCGUGUAUGAGAAGGCCUUCGGGUUGUAAAGUACUUUAGGCAGAGAAGAGGUAUAUGAAGAAUAAGCACCGGCUAACUACGUGCCAGCCGCCGCGGUAAUAG
Molecule: ribosomal RNA, 405 nt
Filed under: uncultured bacterium
Lineage: Bacteria
Description: partial 16S ribosomal RNA
Rfam family: Bacterial small subunit ribosomal RNA
Source: RNAcentral